This is a long non-coding RNA of Chelonia mydas (Green sea turtle), 3038 nucleotides long. RefSeq lists it as uncharacterized. Lineage: Eukaryota; Metazoa; Chordata; Testudines; Cheloniidae. The record is from RefSeq and is a predicted model, not a curated record. The transcript is spliced from 2 exons.
GGUGAGCUGCGAGUCAUAGGACAGGCUUGUCUGAGGGCCUCCAGAGAUACUGGACACUACAGUGGUAGGAAAAACAGAACAAUGUGUACCAGAGUAUUAUUCCUUUUGCCCAUCCUCUGCCAACCAGAACUGUAGUCACUGAUGCUCCCCCACAUAUUUUGGACACACAUCUAGGAAUGUUAAAGGUUCAGAGUUUGUGGUCAGGGCAGGAAGCAUCAUGUCAUAUCAAAGUAGUGGAGUUUCAAGUCAUUUACAGUGCCUUCCAGGAUCAGAUGAGGGAAGCAAUGGUUCACAUACUCACCAACAAUACCACUGCAGUGUGUUAUGUGAACAAGUAGAGAGGUGCCUACUCCAACCAACUUUGUCAGGAAGCAAUAAAUUUUUGGCAUUUCUGCAUCAAGGAAGACAACAUACCCACGGUAGCACAUUUACCAGGCUCUCAAAACCAGUUGACUGACCAUCUCAGCAGGACUUUCUCCAACAAUCAUGAGUGAUCUCUAAAAAGCAGCAUGGUGAGGCUAUUUUCAAGGAAUGGGGAAUCCCAUUCAUCAACUAGGUGCAACAAGGACAACAAGAAGAGCCGUCAGUUUGGUUCCCGAGGGGACUUAGUGCAAGAUCUUUAACCAAUGCCUUCCAUCUGUACUGGGGAAUGCACCUGAUGUAUGCUUUUCUCCAAACCCCUUUCAGAUUAUCCUCAAACUGAAGUUGGACCAAUUGAUACUUAGUGUGCUGGCUUGGCCAAGACAAUGUGCUUUCUCAAUUUGUCUGUUCGACCACCCAAAUCUCUUCCCCUCCUUCUGACCUGCUUUAGUACCAUGGCCAGGUUGUUCAUCGGCACUGAGUAAUCUACACCUCACAACAUGGCUGGUUGAAAGAAAGGUAAUUCUCGGAAGCAAUUCAGAGGAUCCUACUUAAUAGUAGAAAACCAUUUAUUAGAACUACUUCUUUGGUUAAGUGGAUGCAUUUUUCAGUUUGGUUGAUAUCUAAGGAAAUUCAGCCCAUGUUGGCUCAUGUUCGGGACAUUUUGGAUUACCCUUUACACUUCCUCCAUGGCAGUGAGAUUUCUGAAAGGUAUAGUCUCCCUGUUUCCUCCUGUGAAGGAAAUGAACCUAUUGUGGGACUCGAAUACUGUGCUGGCCACCCUCAUGGUUCCUCCAUUUGAGCUGAUGACAACCUACUCGUAGGCUAUCUUUUGGGAGAAGGGAGACACUCUUGUGGUUAUAACAUCUGCAAGAAAUCAGGAAGUUACAGACCUCUUUUUAGUCAGUUUUUCAAAGACUGUGUCCUUAAAACCACAUCCGAAGCUUUUGUCUAGGGUGAUUUCAUAGUUUCACCUUUAUCAGGUUAUUUACUUGACUAUAUACUUUCCUAAGCCACACUCAAAUGCAGAUGAGUAGUAUCUCUAUAUGUUAGAAUGCCAAGCACCACUACACAUCCAUCUGGAAAGCACUAAACCAUUUAAUUCACCACCUCAAAUAUAUUUUUUUGUCUCCUAUGCGGAUUGGAUGAAAAGUCAGCCAAUCUCAAUGCAGAUUUCCAGAUCAUGGUCUUUGGAGUAGCUCAGACUACACCCCACAGACAUUACAGGCUCAUUCGAUGAGAGCCCAGGUCAGAUGCAAACUUUGGGACAGAAGUUCUGCAGUCAUUGUUCACUGCCUACUGAAACUGCUUGUGAGUCACCUGAGUGGAAUAUACAUCUGCUACCACUUGAAGAAAAAAGUUUACUUGUAUUGUAACUGCUGUUCUUCGAGAUGUGGGUGCAGAUAUGUGUGUUCUACUCAAGUUGUGCAUGCCUGGCGCACUAAAGCUGGAGCAGAGUACAUGUCUGCACACAAAUCUCAAACCGCUACAAUACAGAUAAGUACCUGUCUUUUUUCCCCAUCCCUUCUACGCUCCGUCCCCCCAAAAAGCUUGAAUCCAUGUCUACAUGCUGACCUUUGAGAUCUAGAAAACUGACUACAGGAAGCCAGAUCUUGCUUCUGAAUAUGCCUCCUUGGGAGAUCAUGAAAUGUUCUUUUCAGAUGGCAAAGAAUAUCUCUUCUUUCUGUCAAGAAAAUAACUUUCAAUUUGUUUAUUGAAAGGGGUAUAGUAGGAGAUCCUAGCAAUCCCUGCUACAUGCUGUAGCACACCAAUUACUGGGGGUGAACAGAUCAUCUCACGUUUGGGUCUCUCAAAACCUGUCUUUUUAGCGUGUGUGUGUGUCAUAGUUUUUUUUCUUCCUAGAGGGCAUCAGCUCUGCCUUAUAUCUAGGACAAGGUUCUACCCACUUAUAAUACAAGUAGUAAAUAGGGACUAUUAAAACAUUAUUGAAGAAACAACUGUCUCUACAGCUCAAGUCUUUGACAAAACAUGAACAAUGGAUUGGAGUAGUGUUUUCUUCAUUUACCUUUGUCAAAUAAACAUUUAUUUGAAACUAUAAGAUUCCCUAUUGAAACAAGGACUUUAUAAUUGCAUCACCAAGUUUGGGUCAACACACUCUUCCAUUCUUUACCAAUAAAUAAAUAAAUACGAAAUUAUGAUGAUUUUUAUGCAUAAGUUAGAAAAUAGAGAAUUACAGUCGUCAUACCAAUUUUAACUCUGUCCUUGUUUGUCACAUGGAAUAUUGUAUACCAUCCUGGUGUUAGCAUUAAAGGAUUAAGAUAUUAAUUGAGGCAUUGGGAAGAAUAACUGAACGUCCAGUCAUGUGAAAUCUGUUCUGAUAUUGUGACAACAGUUUUGGGGACUUGGAAGUAGAGUGCGUGGUGAAUAUGAAAGAAAGUUGAAGCAAAGGUAUAUUUGACUCUGCACUGGCAAUCACAUUUGAAUGCCAGAAGAGCAUGUAUAUGAAAGAGUGUACAAAAUUGCGCCUAAGAGGAGUGGGCAAAAAUUGAAAUCCUAGGCACUAGAAACCUCAACUUCCUGUAAUUUUUUGAUGCAAUUUUUAAGGUCAUAUUUAUUUCAUAACUAACUUUUUUUUUUUAACUUAACAAAGCGCACAUUCUCUAGGAAGGAUUGUAUGUGCCAGGUCAAAACCAGUUUUGUUAUCUGCAUAAAAGGAA